Molecule: ribosomal RNA, 814 nt
Rfam family: 5.8S ribosomal RNA (bases 334-532)
GCGGAAGGAUCAUUCAUUGAGCAUGGGUAGGCCUUAGCCCUACACAAGCAUGUCUUUUCUUUACUCUAAGUGGGUUCAGAUGGGCUCACUGUGAUACUGAGAUGGGUCUGAGAAGAGAUGCCCUUUUUAUGAUUUGCUUUCGGGUGUCUCAUCUAUCUCUCAGCCUUUUUCCAUUCAACUGUGAGUUGGAUGCGCUGUAUCACUCAGUUGGUCAUGUUUGAAAGCAAAUCGGACUCUUGGGGAGGGAUAUCCCUCUUUUUGAGUGUCAAUGAGCUUUGGGCUCAAACAAAUUCUGUCCAUAAAUGAUUGUUUUGAUCAUGGGCUUCAUUUGACAACUUUCAGCAAUGGAUCUCUUGGUUCUCGCAUCGAUGAAGAACGCAGUGAAAUGCGAUAACUGGUGUGAAUUGCAUCCAAGUAACUCUAAUUUACGAAUAACACCAAGUGAAUCAUCGAGUCUUUGAACGCAAUUGCGCCCUCUCGGUCGCUUCCAAUUGGGGGUUGACUCAUAGGGGGUACAUCUGUUCGAGGGUCAUUUGAGUCUCUCAAAUGGGGUUUGUCACUCCUUUGGAUUUUGGGUCUUGCUGUGAAAUUCAUCUCAGCUUACCUUGAAAGCAUUAGCAAGCAUUCUCAAGUCUUUUGUGAUGGAGGGCGUUCUAAUUGGUCAAGUUCUCGCAAACUGGUCUCUGUAGCCAGUGUCAAAGACGUCUUAAACAUCGUAAAAGUGACUUUUAAAGUGGCGCUAGCUUCCAAUCAUCCGUAUGGGAAAAAGGAGCUCAAUGCCCCUUCAAUGUUUAUCAAUGACCUCGAAUCAGAU